This 486-nucleotide ribosomal RNA is filed under the name uncultured bacterium. RNAcentral's name for it is "partial 16S ribosomal RNA". It matches the Rfam family "Bacterial small subunit ribosomal RNA", at positions 899 to 1397 of the family's 1533-position model. The record is from RNAcentral.
ACUCAAAUGAAUUGACGGGGACCCACACAAGCAGUGGAUCAUGUGGUUUAAUUCGACAAUAAACGGGGAACCUUACCCAGGCUUGACAUCCUACGAAUCUGGCGGAAACGUCGGAGUGCUCGCAAGAGAAUGUAGAGACAGGCGCUGCAUGGUUGUCGUCAGCUCGUGCCUUGAGGUGUUCGGUUAAGUCCGUUAACGAGCGCAACCCACGUCAUUAGUUACUAUGUCUAAUGAGACUGCCUGAGUUAAUCAGGAGGAAGGUGUGGAUGACGUCAAAUCAGCAUGGCCCUUAUGCCUGGGGCCACACACAUGAUACAAUGGUCGGUACAAAGGGUUGCAACACCGCGAGGUGAAGCUAAUCCCAUAAAGCCGAUCUCAGUCCAGAUUGGAGGCUGCAACUCGCCUCCAUGAAGUUGGAAUUGCUAGUAAUCGUGAAUCAGACAUGUCACGGUGAAUAUGUUCCUGGGUCUUGUACACACCGCCCGU